AACGAACGCUGGCGGCAGGCCUAACACAUGCAAGUCGAGCGGACCUUUCGGGGUCAGCGGCGGACGGGUGAGUAACGCGUGGGAAUAUGCCCUUCUCUACGGAAUAGUCCUGGGAAACUGGGGGUAAUACCGUAUACGCCCCUUGGGGGAAAGAUUUAUCGGGGAAGGAUUAGCCCGCGUUGGAUUAGGUAGUUGGUGGGGUAAUGGCCUACCAAGCCGACGAUCCAUAGCUGGUUUGAGAGGAUGAUCAGCCACACUGGGACUGAGACACGGCCCAGACUCCUACGGGAGGCAGCAGUGGGGAAUCUUAGACAAUGGGGGCAACCCUGAUCUAGCCAUGCCGCGUGAGUGAUGAAGGCCUUAGGGUUGUAAAGCUCUUUCAGCUGGGAAGAUAAUGACGGUACCAGCAGAAGAAGCCCCGGCUAACUCCGUG
RNAcentral lists this ribosomal RNA (433 nucleotides) under uncultured bacterium. RNAcentral describes it as "partial 16S ribosomal RNA". It matches the Rfam family "Bacterial small subunit ribosomal RNA", at positions 29 to 507 of the family's 1533-position model. The record is from RNAcentral.